This 1252-nucleotide long non-coding RNA is filed under the name Marmota monax (woodchuck). Lineage: Eukaryota; Metazoa; Chordata; Mammalia; Rodentia; Sciuridae. The record is from RNAcentral.
CUGUCUCUAAAUAAAAUAGACUGGCUCAGUGAUUAAGUGCCUCUGGGUUCAAUCCCCGGUACCUGCCCUCCCCUCGCCCCGCCAAAAAACAAAAAACAAAAACAAAAAAAAACCCAACGUUCACAUCUUGUGUUCGCAUUUGCGUACAAUUUUAAAAGUUUAAUAAGAGUCCAUCCCUGAGCCAUCACUAACUCCUGGCUGAGAAUCCCUGUUCCAGCCGCCGGUGCCAUUCCUCAGAUCGCGCCGCAGCUCCGGGACCCCUCCAGCCGGACUCUCCGCAGGACCCAGCCGGACCUUCGGGAAACUGGAGACCCGCAAUUUGAGAACCGCACAGGAGCGCAGCCAAUCGGAUGGCUGUCCGGGUGACGUCACCAGUUGCUAGGCGAAGGCCGCGGCCUCCAGCUCCGACCUUCUGCUCCUGCCAUCCGCCCGCUCCUCGUCUGUGCAGCAGGGCGCGAAGGCAGAGGCCAGGACGGAGGCGCCGGGUGCUUCCUGAAUGCAUGGCCGUGGCGCUGGACCCCGCCAGGGGGUCUGCGGUUGUGGGUGGACUUGAACUCACCGCCUACAGGGAUAAAGGAAUCAAGUAGGCGUCCCUGGCAUGGAGCCUUCGUUACUGGAAGGUGGAAGAUCCAAGCAGCCAGGGAAGGCUAGUGUGAUCCCUUUACACACACACACACACACACACACACGCCCCAGUGGAUAGGACACAUUUUCUCAAAAAAAAAAAAGCAAGGACUACACUUGUGGCGCUUGCCUCCCGGGGCGCCUUCCCCAGGUGGUAAGAUCCCCUGGUUAACAAGGGGACUUUGGGCCACCUGCCUGGGUUUGAAUCCUAGCUCCUCCGUUUCCUGGCUGUGUGGAUUUGGGCAAAUGGCAUCCUCUCCUUGCCUCGGUUUCCUCACAUAUCAAAUGAGGCUAAUAAUGACCUGUCUCUUAGGUUUGUUGGGAGGCUGCACCGAGACCGCUGUGGCACUGGGCAGGUGCUCAAAAGGCCAACAGAAACCCUUUCUGCUCCCAGGGCGUGGCCUGUCCCAAGCAGAGGAAAUGGAGCCAUCGCUGGCCACUGGCAGAUCUGGCAUGAAGGGGCUCCCAGCUCUCCAGGGACCCCUGGGGCUUUGAGCCAGGAAAGGGAAUUCAUUCAUGUUACAAGCACUUCCUGUGCCCCCUCUGUGCCAGACCCUGGGCUGGGAUCGCCAUACAGCAGGGAACAAAUUGAGAGGAUCACAACACCCUCCUACCCUCCUACCCUCCU